RNAcentral lists this ribosomal RNA (230 nucleotides) under uncultured bacterium. RNAcentral describes it as "partial 16S ribosomal RNA". It matches the Rfam family "Bacterial small subunit ribosomal RNA", at positions 28 to 210 of the family's 1533-position model. The record is from RNAcentral.
GACGAACGCUUGCGGCGUGCCUAAGAAAUGCAAGUCGAGCGGAGCUGAAGGAUGAAUUAUGAAGGAUGAGGGAUGAUCAUCCUUCCGCCUUCAUCAUUCAUUCUUCAGCUUAGCGGCGAACGGUCGCGUAACACGUAAGCAACCUGCCUCAAAGACCGGGACAACAUCUCGAAAGGGGUGCUAAUACCGGAUGUGGCCGAAGGGGGACAUCCUUCUUCGAUUAAACCCAG